This is a non-coding RNA of Spinacia oleracea (spinach), 106 nucleotides long. Lineage: Eukaryota; Viridiplantae; Streptophyta; Magnoliopsida; Caryophyllales; Amaranthaceae. The record is from Rfam.
AUACCAUGGUGAGGCACUCACGUUGGUACUCCUUGAACCGAUCUCACGCCUCAAACAAAGAUUCAUCCCUCUUUUGCUCAAAGGAUUGGAUUUUGUUUCUAUAUUC